AUUGAACGCUGGUGGCAGGCCUAACACAUGCAAGUCGAGCGGAUGAGGGGAGCUUGCUCCCUGAUUUAGCGGCGGACGGGUGAGUAAUGCCUAGGAAUCUGCCUGGUCGUGGGGGAUAACGUUCCGAAAGGAACGCUAAUACCGCAUACGUCCUACGGGAGAAAGCAGUGGACCUUCGGGCCUUGCGCUAUCUGCUGAGCCUAGGUCGGAUUAGCUAGUUGGUGAGGUAAUGGCUCACCAAGGCGACGAUCCGUAACUGGUCUGAGAGGAUGAUCAGUCACACUGGAACUGAGACACGGUCCAGACUCCUACGGGAGGCAGCAGUGGGGAAUAUUGGACAAUGGGCGAAAGCCUGAUCCAGCCAUGCCGCGUGUGUGAAGAAGGUCUUCGGAUUGUAAAGCACUUUAAGUUGGGAGGAAGGGCUGCUGGUGAAUACCCUGCAGUUUUGACGUUACCAACAGAAUAAGCACCGGCUAACUUCGUG
This 484-nucleotide ribosomal RNA is filed under the name uncultured bacterium. RNAcentral's name for it is "partial 16S ribosomal RNA". It matches the Rfam family "Bacterial small subunit ribosomal RNA", at positions 30 to 507 of the family's 1533-position model. The record is from RNAcentral.